GAUGAACGCUGGCGGCGUGCCUAAUACAUGCGAGUCGAGCGAACAGACGAGGAUCUUGCUCCUCUGACGUUAGCGGCGGACGGGUGAGUAACACGUGGAUAACCUACCUAUAAUACUGGGAUAACUUCGGGAAACCGGAGCUAAUACCGGAUAAUAUAUUGUACCGCAUGGUUCAAUAGUGAAAGACGGUUUUGCUGUCACUUAUAGAUGGUUCCACGCCGCAUUAGCUAGUUGGUAAUGUAACGGCUUACCAAGGCGACGAUGCGUAGCCGACCUGAGAGGGUGAUCAGGCAUGCUGGAACGGAGACACGGUGCAGACUCCAACGGGAGGAAGCAGUAGGGAAUAGUCCGCAAUGGGCGAAAACCUGACGGAGGAACGGCGCGUGAGUGAUGAAGGACUUCGGAUCGUAAAACUCUGUUAUGAGGGAAGAACAAAAGUGUAAGAAAAAAUGCACGGCUUGACGGUACCUAAUGAGAAAGCCACGGCUAACUACGUG
RNAcentral lists this ribosomal RNA (497 nucleotides) under uncultured bacterium. RNAcentral describes it as "partial 16S ribosomal RNA". It matches the Rfam family "Bacterial small subunit ribosomal RNA", at positions 28 to 507 of the family's 1533-position model. The record is from RNAcentral.